UUUCCGUAGGUGAACCUGCGGAAGGAUCAUUAUUGGAUUUUGAAACUUCAGGCUGCUGCUGGCUCUCCUCGGAGGGCAUGUGCACGCUUGUUGUCCAUUAUUUCUCCCACUGUGCACAAAUUGUAGACCUUUCAGUAGGCCUAUGUUGUUUUUCACAAUCUCUGAAUGUAAUAGAAUGGUUUUGAAUCUUUGGAAAUACAAUACAACUUUCAGCAACGGAUCUCUUGGCUCUC
This 233-nucleotide unclassified non-coding RNA is filed under the name plant metagenome. RNAcentral describes it as "partial contains small subunit ribosomal RNA, internal transcribed spacer 1, and 5.8S ribosomal RNA". The record is from RNAcentral.